RNAcentral lists this ribosomal RNA (497 nucleotides) under uncultured bacterium. RNAcentral describes it as "partial 16S ribosomal RNA". It matches the Rfam family "Bacterial small subunit ribosomal RNA", at positions 28 to 507 of the family's 1533-position model. The record is from RNAcentral.
GACGAACGCUGGCGGCGUGCCUAAUACAUGCAAGUUGAGCGCUGAAGGUUGGUACUUGUACCAACUGGAUGAGCAGCGAACGGGUGAGUAACGCGUGGGGAAUCUGCCUUUGAGCGGGGGACAACAUUUGGAAACGAAUGCUAAUACCGCAUAAAAACUUUAAACACAAGUUUUAAGUUUGAAAGAUGCAAUUGCAUCACUCAAAGAUGAUCCCGCGUUGUAUUAGCUAGUUGGUGAGGUAAAGGCUCACCAAGGCGAUGAUACAUAGCCGACCUGAGAGGGUGGUCGGCCACAUUGGGACUGAGACACGGCCCAAACUCCUACGGGAGGCAGCAGUAGGGAAUCUUCGGCAAUGGACGAAAGUCUGACCGAGCAACGCCGCGUGAGUGCAGAAGGUUUUCGGAUCGUAAAACUCUGUUGGUAGAGAAGAACGUUGGUGAGAGUGGAAAGCUCAUCAAGUGACGGUAACUACCCAGAAAGGGACGGCUAACUACGUG